UACGAGGGGGGCGAGCGUUGUUCGGAAUUAUUGGGCGUAAAGGGCUCGCAGGCGGUCUUCUAAGUCUGAUGUGAAAUCUUGCGGCUUAACCGCAAGCGGUCAUUGGAAACUGGAGGACUUGAGUACAGAAGAGGAGAGUGGAAUUCCACGUGUAGCGGUGAAAUGCGUAGAGAUGUGGAGGAACACCAGUGGCGAAGGCGACUCUCUGGUCUGUAACUGACGCUGAGGAGCGAAAGCGUGGGGAGCGAACAGG
RNAcentral lists this ribosomal RNA (253 nucleotides) under uncultured bacterium. RNAcentral's name for it is "partial 16S ribosomal RNA". It matches the Rfam family "Bacterial small subunit ribosomal RNA", at positions 524 to 776 of the family's 1533-position model. The record is from RNAcentral.